This 361-nucleotide ribosomal RNA is filed under the name Bradyrhizobium sp. 4CBAH. Its description in RNAcentral is "bacterial SSU rRNA". It matches the Rfam family "Bacterial small subunit ribosomal RNA", at positions 396 to 774 of the family's 1533-position model. Lineage: Bacteria; Pseudomonadati; Pseudomonadota; Alphaproteobacteria; Hyphomicrobiales; Nitrobacteraceae. RNAcentral also lists the same sequence under 1 other name. The record is from RNAcentral.
GCCGCGUGAGUGAUGAAGGCCCUAGGGUUGUAAAGCUCUUUUGUGCGGGAAGAUAAUGACGGUACCGCAAGAAUAAGCCCCGGCUAACUUCGUGCCAGCAGCCGCGGUAAUACGAAGGGGGCUAGCGUUGCUCGGAAUCACUGGGCGUAAAGGGUGCGUAGGCGGGUCUUUAAGUCAGGGGUGAAAUCCUGGAGCUCAACUCCAGAACUGCCUUUGAUACUGAGGAUCUUGAGUUCGGGAGAGGUGAGUGGAACUGCGAGUGUAGAGGUGAAAUUCGUAGAUAUUCGCAAGAACACCAGUGGCGAAGGCGGCUCACUGGCCCGAUACUGACGCUGAGGCACGAAAGCGUGGGGAGCAAACA